UAAAUAGUAGCUUAAAUUACCGAAAGCGUUGGACUGUUAAUCCAAAAAUGUAAUUAUUACCUAUUUAG
RNAcentral lists this transfer RNA (68 nucleotides) under Epigonichthys cultellus. RNAcentral describes it as "tRNA-Asn". It matches the Rfam family "tRNA". Rfam says of the family: Transfer RNA (tRNA) molecules are approximately 80 nucleotides in length. Their secondary structure includes four short double-helical elements and three loops (D, anti-codon, and T loops). Lineage: Eukaryota; Metazoa; Chordata; Leptocardii; Amphioxiformes; Branchiostomatidae. The record is from RNAcentral.